AACUACACGCCAAUACAUUUUUUAAAAGAAGACUUAAAUGUGUUAUUUUUAAUAGCAUGCCCUAGGAAAAAUGCAGAUUUGUGAAACCUUGUUGCCUAAAAGGAAAGAAGAAAAGGAAGCCGGUGUUUCAAAAACUCAGACAUAUUAGAAUAUGGCAUUGAGUAAGCUGUUGUCUUGUUUGGGGGAAGGUGGACCAUCUGAAGAGGGCUUUAGGGACAGUUCUAGUCAUUGACCUUGGGAGAAGCAGGGUAGGAACAGUGCUGCUGCGGAAGCUGAGAGAGCAGUUCUUUGUCCAGUGGAGCACAGUGAACUCCUGGGUGGCACCUGUGUUACAAAACUCCAUUUUAUGGAGUUCCCUGGUGGCACAGCAGGUGAAGAAUUUGACCUUGGUAGUGCUGCAGCUCAGGUCACUGGUGUGGCAUGGGUUCCACCUCUGGCCUGGGAACUUCCGUAUGCCGAGGACACGGCCGAAAAAAAAAAAUCAAAACCUAAAAACCCUCUACUUGAGCUCUUUCAUCUGCAAUACAGUAGUAUCUAUUGCAUAGGAUAUUUGAAGAUAGAAUGGUUUAAUUUAGAAAAUGAAUGGUGACAAUUACUAUGGAAGCACCAGAAAGCCUGCUUGUUCUGGUGGAAUCAUGCAUGUCCUACAUGGUGUCUAGAAUAAAGGAGAUUCUUAAGAUGGAUAUAAAUUGGAUAAAUGAAAUGCCCAGAUAUCAGGGGUAUACAUGAGACAGGAUAGCUGUGAGUUGGAAAUGGUUGAGGCUCAGUAGUAGGUACUUGGAGAUUUGUUAUACUAUUUUCUGUGCUGUUGUGUACCUUUGAAAUUUUCCUUACUAAAAACGCUUUUUUAAAAGAAUGUUGUAGCUCAGCGGGUUAACCCAGCUAGUAUCCAUGAGGAUGCAGGUUCAAUCCCUGGCCUCGUUCAGUGGGGGUUAAGGAUCUGGUGUUGCCUGAGCUGUGGUGUAGGUCACAGAUGUGGCUUGGAUCCUGUAUUGCUGUGGCUGUGGCCUAGGCCAGCAGCCGCAGCUCUGAUUGAGCCCUUAGCUUGGGAACCUCCAUAUGCCUCAGGUGCAGCC
RNAcentral lists this long non-coding RNA (1076 nucleotides) under Sus scrofa (pig). RNAcentral describes it as "lncRNA (ENSSSCG00055026512.1)". The record is from RNAcentral. Lineage: Eukaryota; Metazoa; Chordata; Mammalia; Artiodactyla; Suidae.